ACCUGCCUGGCUUAGUUGGCAGAGCGUGAGACUCUUGAUCUUGGGGUUGUGAGUUCGAGCCCCACAUUGGGUG
This 73-nucleotide transfer RNA is filed under the name Ailuropoda melanoleuca (giant panda). It matches the Rfam family "tRNA". Rfam says of the family: Transfer RNA (tRNA) molecules are approximately 80 nucleotides in length. Their secondary structure includes four short double-helical elements and three loops (D, anti-codon, and T loops). The record is from Rfam by way of RNAcentral. Lineage: Eukaryota; Metazoa; Chordata; Mammalia; Carnivora; Ursidae.